UGGGGAAUAUUGCACAAUGGGCGAAAGCCUGAUGCAGCAACGCCGCGUGAGUGAUGAAGGUCUUCGGAUUGUAAAGCUCUGUCUUUUGGGACGAUAAUGACGGUACCAAAGGAGGAAGCCACGGCUAACUACGUGCCAGCAGCCGCGGUAAUACGUAGGUGGCGAGCGUUGUCCGGAUUUACUGGGCGUAAAGGGUGCGUAGGCGGAUGUUUAAGUGAGAUGUGAAAUACCCGGGCUUAACUUGGGUGCUGCAUUUCAAACUGGAUAUCUAGAGUGCAGGAGAGGAGAAUGGAAUUCCUAGUGUAGCGGUGAAAUGCGUAGAGAUUAGGAAGAACACCAGUGGCGAAGGCGAUUCUCUGGACUGUAACUGACGCUGAGGCACGAAAGCGUGGGUAGCAAACAGGAUUAGAUACCCUGGUAGUCCACGCCGUAAACGAUGAGUACUAGGUGUAGGAGGUAUCGACCCCUUCUGUGCCGCAGUAAACACAUUAAGUACUCCGCCUGGGAAGUACGAUCGCAAGG
This 522-nucleotide ribosomal RNA is filed under the name uncultured bacterium. RNAcentral's name for it is "partial 16S ribosomal RNA". It matches the Rfam family "Bacterial small subunit ribosomal RNA", at positions 355 to 893 of the family's 1533-position model. The record is from RNAcentral.